UUGAAUUUUAAUGAAGAGUUUGGUUGUAGCUGGCCCAUUCAUUUGGGCAUGUGCACACCUUCCUCUUUCAUCCCACACACACCUGUGAACCUGUGAGACAGAGAUGGGGUAUUUACUUGCUGCUUUUGGAAUACAAAGGCAAUAGGUUAUUGGACCCCCCCUCUGUCUACUCAAUUAAUAUAAACUCAAUUUAUUUUAAAACGAAUGUAAUGGAUGUAACACAUCUCAUAC
RNAcentral lists this unclassified non-coding RNA (231 nucleotides) under soil metagenome. Its description in RNAcentral is "partial internal transcribed spacer 1". The record is from RNAcentral.